This 757-nucleotide ribosomal RNA is filed under the name fungal endophyte. Its description in RNAcentral is "eukaryotic LSU rRNA". The stretch from base 509 to 757 matches the Rfam family "Eukaryotic large subunit ribosomal RNA", at positions 1 to 253 of the family's 3401-position model. Lineage: Eukaryota; Fungi. The record is from RNAcentral.
UUACAGAGUUAUAAACUCACCAACCCUUUUGUGAACCUAUCCAAUCGUUGCCUCGGCGCGAGCUCUUGGGCGAAGUUACCCUGUAGUUACCCUGUAGCUACCCUGUAGCGGUUACCCUGGAGCCCGCCGGUGGACAUACAAACUCUUGUUUUAAACAUAUUAUCUGAGCGUCUUAUUUUAAUAAGUCAAAACUUUCAACAACGGAUCUCUUGGUUCGGGCAUCGAUGAAGAACGCAGCGAAAUGCGAUAAGUAAUGUGAAUUGCAGAAUUCAGUGAAUCAUCGAAUCUUUGAACGCACAUUGCGCCCAUUAGUAUUCUAGUGGGCAUGCCUGUUCGAGCGUCAUUUCAACCCUUAAGCCUAGCUUAGUGUUGGGAGUCCACCGUUAAACGUGGUUCCCCAAAACCAGUGGCGGAGCGGCAGUUUGUCCUCUGAGCGUAGUAAUUCUUUUUAUCUCGCUUCUGUUAGGCGCUGUCACCCCAGCCGUUAAACCCCCAAUUUUUUAGUGGUUGACCUCGGAUCAGGUAGGAAUACCCGCUGAACUUAAGCAUAUCAAUAAGCGGAGGAAAAGAAACCAACAGGGAUUCCCCUAGUAACGGCGAGUGAAGCGGGAACAGCUCAAAUUUGAAAUCUGGCCUUCGGGUCCGAGUUGUAAUUUGUAGAGGAUGCUUUUGGUGCGGUGCCUUCCGAGUUCCCUGGAACGGGACGCCUUAGAGGGUGAGAGCCCCGUACGGUUGGACACCAAGCCUCUGUAAAGCU